CAAUAAUUGUCAAUUCUUCCUUUGAAGAGAAACCUUUCUAUCAUGAAUAUUCUUUUACCAAAUCCCAAAGUUAUACUCUGCCUGGAGUGAAGAUACCUGGUAUCAAAUAUGACUUCGGUCUGGUGGGAACAGGGCUGUGUGCACUGGAGAUGCCAACAUUAUCUAUGGAGUUUCGAACAGUGCACUGUUUGGCCAAGCUGAGACAAAGCUCUGAUUUAUGGAAGCGCCAGGAAUUCAGCUAUUUAGGCCUAUUGACAAAAGUUCCCAUGUUUCUCUGGUAUAUCCUGCCAUUAAUUUCUUUUUCCUUGGAGGAGUUGGUGAAAUAUAUUUCCUUACAAGUGUAGAAUUUGACAUUGUCUUUGUGUCGUAUAUCAUAAGAAAGGCUACUGUUUGUUAGAUUUAUUCUUAACGGAGCGUAAAGUUAUUUGGAAUCUACAAGCAAAAAGCUUGGGAGAUCACCAGUAGAUUUAAUUUGGAAUCUACAAUCCUACUGAUUUUGAUUAAUUGAAAUCCAUAUCUCCAUAUUUAA
Long non-coding RNA from Solanum lycopersicum (tomato), 529 nucleotides. RefSeq lists it as uncharacterized. Lineage: Eukaryota; Viridiplantae; Streptophyta; Magnoliopsida; Solanales; Solanaceae. The record is from RefSeq and is a predicted model, not a curated record.